UACGUAGGGUGCAAGCGUUAAUCGGAAUUACUGGGCGUAAAGCGUGCGCAGGCGGUUUUGUGAGACAGGCGUGAAAUCCCCGGGCUUAACCUGGGAAUGGCGCUUGUGACUGCAAAGCUGGAGUGCGGCAGAGGGGGAUGGAAUUCCGCGUGUAGCAGUGAAAUGCGUAGAUAUGCGGAGGAACACCGAUGGCGAAGGCAAUCCCCUGGGCCUGCACUGACGCUCAUGCACGAAAGCGUGGGGAGCAAACAGG
This 253-nucleotide ribosomal RNA is filed under the name uncultured bacterium. RNAcentral's name for it is "partial 16S ribosomal RNA". It matches the Rfam family "Bacterial small subunit ribosomal RNA", at positions 524 to 776 of the family's 1533-position model. The record is from RNAcentral.